UACGUGCAUGUCAUCUUUCAGUAUAGUAGAAACUUCAUCAGUUGUAGGUGAUCUCAUGAAAUGCUACUUUUGACUAUGACUCUUACGACUGUAGCAGUGAGGGUUCUCUAUCGUGCCAUCAGUCUACCGCCACACGGGACCUUCGUCCGAAAGAUUCGCGAUUUUCACUUCUGAUGUUGGAUGCUUGGCAAAGGAGCAGUAAACUGGUACAACGUCGACAUGAUGCAAGAUAUAUAUAUAUAUCUAUGAAGACGAUGAUAUACAAGAACAUUUAUUAUCGAAGUGAAAUUUUAAGUUUUGCGUUAACGCUUUUUUUCCCUUCAAAAUUUUGUUUUAUUUUCUUACAUAAAAAAGUGUAACCACUCAUUCAUUGUAAUUACUCCAAAAUUAUGUGUAGGCAUCUGUCUCUUUGCCUAUAUGCUCGUUCCUGCCACCUCCCCCAUUAGGUUACAUCGUUUUCAAUAAACUGAUCGCGUCACGCAGAUUUAAACGUAAUUUGAAUCGUCAAAAAGUAAAAAAGUACAUGUUUUAGCCACCAAAACCCCCCCCUAAA
Long non-coding RNA from Ostrea edulis (European flat oyster), 553 nucleotides. RefSeq lists it as uncharacterized. The transcript has 2 exons. NCBI's taxonomy places the organism in Eukaryota, Metazoa, Mollusca, Bivalvia, Ostreida, Ostreidae. The record is from RefSeq and is a predicted model, not a curated record.